This 65-nucleotide ribosomal RNA is filed under the name Hungatella hathewayi. Its description in RNAcentral is "partial 23S ribosomal RNA". The record is from RNAcentral. Lineage: Bacteria; Bacillati; Bacillota; Clostridia; Lachnospirales; Lachnospiraceae.
AGAGGUGGAAGUGCGGUAACGUAUGGAGCUGACUGUCACUAAUAGGUCGAGGGCUUAACCAAGUU